UCCUCCCUCUUUCUUCGUGCCUAAUACAUGCAAGUCGAACGCUUCUUUCCUCCCGAGUGCUUGCACUCCAUUGGAAAGAGGAGUGGCGGACGGGUGAGUAACACGUGGGUAACCUACCCAUCAGAGGGGGAUAACACUUGGAAACAGGUGCUAAUACCGCAUAACAGUUUAUGCCGCAUGGCAUAAGAGUGAAAGGCGCUUUCGGGUGUCGCUGAUGGAUGGACCCGCGGUGCAUUAGCUAGUUGGUGAGGUAACGGCUCACCAAGGCCACGAUGCAUAGCCAACCUGAGAGGGUGAUCGGCCACACUGGGACUGAGACACGGCCCAGACUCCUACGGGAGGCAGCAGUAGGGAAUCUUCGGCAAUGGACGAAAGUCUGACCGAGCAACGCCGCGUGAGUGAAGAAGGUUUUCGGAUCGUAAAACUCUGUUGUUAGAGAAGAACAAGGACGUUAGUAACUGAACGUCCCCUGACGGUAUCUAACCAGAAAGCCACGGCUAACUACGUG
This 508-nucleotide ribosomal RNA is filed under the name uncultured bacterium. Its description in RNAcentral is "partial 16S ribosomal RNA". It matches the Rfam family "Bacterial small subunit ribosomal RNA", at positions 36 to 507 of the family's 1533-position model. The record is from RNAcentral.